AACCUUUUCAAUAUUGUCCAUCAUAAUUCCCUUGACCUCUGUUAUCUGGGCCUUUAAUUUGGAUAGCUUGCUGAUCUCUUCUGGGUGGUUCAUACAAUAUUCCAUGUGUUCCUUGAGCCUUGGCCCAAACUCUCUGUCGAGAUUGUAGGCGAUGCUAAAUCGGUCUUCAAACAAGUCAUCAUCGUCGUCAUCAUCAUCUGCAAGCGGAUGCGCCUCAUUCUUAAUACUUGCACCAUAACGCUGUUUAAAAUCAUCCUUCACGCGCUCAAGAAAUACAAAGGGCAAACUUCUUCCUGAUGAUUCAUCCACAACAACAAGAAAAACAAAUCCAUUGUCAAUAAGGAAGUUAAAUGUAUGCCCAUCACAUGAGUAUGUGUACUUGCUGCUAUUUGAAGGAAGCUUCUGUAAACAUUGAACAGCAAUGGUACUAAAGUUCCCCGAGUAUGGCGUGUGCUCUGCUAAAACAACUGUACCCUUUGCCACAAAGCUAUAUAUAAAACCUUUCUGACUCAUCCCUAAAUUAUAUCAAGCCCAGGAUACAAAUGAAAUUGCCCUUUAAUGCUAUAUUAACCUGAAGUUUGCUGC
This 585-nucleotide unclassified non-coding RNA is filed under the name Hevea brasiliensis (rubber tree). The record is from RNAcentral. Lineage: Eukaryota; Viridiplantae; Streptophyta; Magnoliopsida; Malpighiales; Euphorbiaceae.